CUCCCGCGGCGGGCCGGGUCUCCAGGGAGGACCUGAGUUUUUCUUCACCCAUGGUCAGGGAGGCGCCAUCGCCCUGGCUUUGGGGCUGGGGCCUCCGGGGAGGUUCCGGUAGGGGCGUUGGAGAGGCCGCUCUUUUUGCAAGGCCCGAGAUGGCGGGCCCUGCGCAGGCCGCCCUAUUCCGCGCCCUCAGGGCGUCAGUAUCCGCCUGAGGCCGGAUACCCACUCUGGGCUCGGAUACCCGCGCUGGGCCCGGAGCAUCCUCGGCGCUGCCCUCCCAGAGCCCCGCAGAGGCUGAGGUGGCGCGGGGGCGGCCCCGGCUCCGCGAGAAGAGGCGGCAGCGAGGGCUGGAGGACCCGGGCUACGGGGCUCCGGGGCGUCUGGCCUGGGUGGGACUGAGCCCAUCCAGGGACUGGGACUCCGGGGUUCUGGUGUAGGUGGAUCCCGGGCAGGCUCAGGACCAAGACCCUCUCCUUCCACCAAGGAGCGCCCAGAGGCCGGCGGGAGCUCCAGGUUCACCUCCUCCUCCUCCAGGGACGACUUGAGAAGGCAUCCUGACCCUAUGCAGAAAUGCAGAAACACUUCCAUGAGCUAAACAACCUAUGUGAAGGCCUGAAAGCCAAAGCAAGAUCCUCUUAUUACAAAGCUGUCCAACAAAAAGUUUUCCAAGUAACACUGGAGGUCCAUCACUCACUCUUCCUGGUCUGGAAAUGCCAGAAAUGUCCUCCUUGGUCCUUCUGAGAGUCAAGAUCUUUUCAAAGUCACCUCAGGAGCCACAGAACCACUCCAUCCUACCUGAAAUUGCAGGAUGACUCUUCUUUUGACCAGAGUCUCAAAAAUAUAUUCGUUGAUAAUUUUGAUUCCUGGGAGCCGCCAUUGCUUGCAAAAGAUGUGCCAGGGACUAGACAUUUUCUGUCUCCUCACUUGUCCGGGGAAGACUGAAGUUUUACUGAAACACAGAGAUGGGAAUCUGACCCUCUGAGCAGCCUCAGGAUUUUCUAAGUCUUCCAAGCAGAGUGGAAAUACUGGAAAUCCCACUUCCAGCUGGAUGUCUGGAUGAACUCCUGAAAGCUGCUGAGUGUCCUGCAGCAGGUGAGCUGUGGCCAGAGCCCAAGGAUGAAGGGGACUCCCUCACUCUGUGACUGUGAAGAGGAAGCCUGAGGUGUAGCAGGCCCAGGCCCCAGAAGUAUGGAAAAAAUGAGGCCAUUUCCAAUCCAGAGGAAGACCUUCUAGAAGAAGUGAUGGGUGGGAGAGUGCUGACAUACUAUGCAAAGCUACUAUUUGGAGUUGGACACGAGUGCAUGUGACCUUGUGCCACAGCGGGAAUGUGAGCUGGAUGACAAAUGGAGAUUUGGACUUGUGAUAAUUGGCCUCUGUGUCAUUGUGUGGAAGACUGACUGGUCCCUUUAUUUCCUGUAGCUUGACUACCACACAAAUUAAUCCACUCAAAUGUUGGCAAGUGGAGCAGAGUCCCAGGACAGGUACAGAAACACCCCCAGUUCAAGGAUCUUCACACCUGGAUUUAGGCCUACACCUGCAACUACCCCAGGCCAGUUAUCCAGGCAGUGACUUUCUGUACAGCUACAGUCACCUCUGGACACCUGCGGAGACUUUAAAAAUUUCCAGAAGGUCAGGAAUUUUUGGAGACCUUUCUUAUGGCUACGUUGCCUGCAAAGGUGAAUCAAUAAGCUUCUGAACUGACUUAGAAAAUGUUGCAGAGACUCUUGUGAACAGAUAGACCCUCUCCUGCCACUCCAGAUAGACGUAUCCGGGUCACACACACCUGAUUUAACAACAUCUCAUUAUCUCAGGCACCAAUUUGAUCUUCUACUACUUUGCAGACAUCUCUUCUGCAAACACCAGACAAACUGAGACAAUGAACUUCCGCAGGACCCAAAGCACCUCUUACUGCAGGAAAGAAGAUCCAGUGAGAUAGUUAGUCCACAAAUGGAAUGUCAAUCCAUAAACACACUUAAGUAACAGAAUAAAUUUAGUAUGAGCGUUUUUAUGUGGGAGCUCUUGAAAUGGUUGCUGCUCAUAUGUCAGAGACAUAUGCAGUUUAAGAAAGGUAGCAGUUCCAAUCCUGGUUUGGCCCAACAGUCACUGCAUUUUUGGUGGGGAAAAGGGAUGUGGGAGGAGAUGGUACAUCUUCAUCUUUUUCUCUGGGUUUUCUGUCAGAAAGGGAUGUUGCUUACUCCAGUGGCAAAAAAUGCCAGUGUCUUCUGCCAGAGUGGGUUACUGAGGGCCAUGGUGGUUCCACCUUGUGGCUGAUACAGAUAGUCCCUUUCUGCUUUUGUUUCUAGCCAAAAAAGAUGUUUCUCGCAUCUCAGGUAUGCAGACUUCAGCAGCUGUUUUUUCUAUAUGGCUAUUUUUUUUUUCUUUCACUCUCUCUUUCUCUCUUUUUUUUUUGUUGGCUUCACUGUGUUGCCAUAGUUUCUUAAAUGGUCCCUUGAACCCUCCCAGAGCUAUUUUGGUUUGUACAUAACUAUCUAUAUAUUUUUUUCUUGGGGGGAGUGUGUAGAGCUAAAGGCUGGUAUAUCCUGCUCCUGCUCCCCGAAAGUGACGUUAUUCCCCCAAGCUAAUAUUUCAGGCUUUCAAUUUAUUCAUGCUUUCAUCUGUUUAAACAUAAGUAGAAAUUACUUUUUCUCUCCACAUUUAGAUUUGAUCUAUCUACUUUAAUUGCUAAUAGUGUCUUAGUCAUAGAAUAGAUUAGUUAGAAAAAAGUGUUUUUGACAUUAUAAAUGAUUCUUUCAAUUUGUGUCUAAAAGUGGAAAAUACUAGAAAGCUUAACAUUUAUUAUUGUAUUCAGACCAGUAUUUCCUCCAGAUGACCUUUAUUACAACAAAGAUAAUUUAAUGAAGAUCUCUCUAAUGGUAAAGCUGAUGGCUUUGUGCUAUUACAAUAUCCUUCAAAUAAAGUGACGAUCUGGUGGAAAGAACAACUAAAGCAAGGAUUAGGAAGAAAACAGUUAAUACCUUCAUUUUGGUCUCACUCUGCAUUAAGAGUUUUCAUUGUGUUAAGGAUUUAUUAUACAUUAAGUAAUUUAAUGUUCAUUUAAUAAUAAAUGGAUCCUAUUAAAUAUGAUUUUUAAAAUUAUAAUCAC
RNAcentral lists this long non-coding RNA (3100 nucleotides) under Homo sapiens (human). Its description in RNAcentral is "HSALNT0366517". The record is from RNAcentral. Lineage: Eukaryota; Metazoa; Chordata; Mammalia; Primates; Hominidae.